AGGAUGAACGCUGGCGGUCUGCUUAACACAUGCAAGUCGAACGGAGUACCUCGGUACUUAGUGGCGGACGGGUGAGUAACGCGUGAGAAUCUGCCCUUAGGUCGGGGACAACCAUUGGAAACGAUGGCUAAUACCGGAUAAGCCGAGAGGUAAAAGAUUAAUUGCCUAGGGAAGAGCUCGCGUCUGAUUAGCUAGUUGGUGAGGUAAAAGGCUCACCAAGGCAUCGAUCAGUAGCUGGUCUGAGAGGAUGAUCAGCCACACUGGGACUGAGACACGGCCCAGACUCCUACGGGAGGCAGCAGUGGGGAAUUUUCCGCAAUGGGCGAAAGCCUGACGGAGCAAGACCGCGUGAGGGAGGAAGGCUCGUUGGGUUGUAAACCUCGUUUUCUUGGGAAGAACAAAUGACGGUACCCAAGGAAUCAGCAUCGGACUAACUCCGUGCCAGCAGCCGC
This 452-nucleotide ribosomal RNA is filed under the name uncultured bacterium. Its description in RNAcentral is "SSU rRNA". It matches the Rfam family "Bacterial small subunit ribosomal RNA", at positions 26 to 518 of the family's 1533-position model. The record is from RNAcentral.